UACAGAGGUCUCAAGCGUUGUUCGGAUUCAUUGGGCGUAAAGGGUGUGUAGGUGGCGCGCUAAGUCGGGUGUGAAAUUUCGGAGCUUAACUCCGAAACUGCAUUCGAUACGGGCAGACUAGAGGCAUGCAGGGGAGAACGGAAUUCCUGGUGUAGCGGUGAAAUGCGCAGAUAUCAGGAGGAACACCGGUGGCGAAGGCGGUUCUCUGGGCAUGUCCUGACGCUGAGGAGCGAAAGUGUGGGGAGCAAACAGG
This 253-nucleotide ribosomal RNA is filed under the name uncultured bacterium. RNAcentral describes it as "partial 16S ribosomal RNA". It matches the Rfam family "Bacterial small subunit ribosomal RNA", at positions 524 to 776 of the family's 1533-position model. The record is from RNAcentral.